This 265-nucleotide ribosomal RNA is filed under the name uncultured bacterium. Its description in RNAcentral is "partial 16S ribosomal RNA". It matches the Rfam family "Bacterial small subunit ribosomal RNA", at positions 57 to 305 of the family's 1533-position model. The record is from RNAcentral.
GCAAGUCGAGCGUGAAGGUUAUGAAUGAUUCUUCGGAUGAAUGAUUAACUGGAAAGCGGCGGACGGGUGAGUAACGCGUGAGUAACCUGCCCUACACACUGGGAUAGCCAUUGGAAACGAUGAUUAAUACCGGAUAACACAUUUAUAACACAUGUUAUUGAUGUCAAAGAUUUAUCGGUGUAGGAUGGACCCGCGUCUGAUUAGUUUGUUGGUGAGGUAACGGCUCACCAAGACUACGAUCAGUAGCCGACCUGAGAGGGUGAUC